GAUGAAGAACGCAGCGAAAUGCGAUAAGUAGUGUGAAUUGCAGAAUUCAGUGAAUCAUCGAAUCUUUGAACGCACAUUGCGCCCUUUGGUAUUCCAAAGGGCAUGCCUGUUCGAGCGUCAUUUGUACCCUCGAGCUUUGCUUGGUGUUGGGCGUCUUGUCUCUAGCUUUGCUGGAGACUCGCCUUAAAGUAAUUGGCAGCCGGCCUACUGGUUUCGGAGCGCAGCACAAGUCGCACUCUCUAUCAGCAAAGGUCUAGCAUCCAUUAAGCCUUUUUUUCAACUUUUGACCUCGGAUCAGGUAGGGAUACCCGCUGAACUUAAGCAUAUCAAUAAGCGGAGGA
This 341-nucleotide unclassified non-coding RNA is filed under the name soil metagenome. RNAcentral describes it as "partial contains 5.8S ribosomal RNA, internal transcribed spacer 2, and large subunit ribosomal RNA". The stretch from base 1 to 120 matches the Rfam family "5.8S ribosomal RNA", at positions 35 to 154 of the family's 154-position model. The record is from RNAcentral.